CCUACGGGUGGCAGCAGUGAGGAAUAUUGGUCAAUGGGCGCGAGCCUGAACCAGCCACGUAGCGUGAAGGAUGACUGCCCUAUCGGUUGUAACCUUCUUUUAUAAGGGAAUAAAAUGUUCCACGUGUGGGAUUUUGUAUGUACUUUAUGAAUAAGGAUCGGCUAACUCCGUGCCAGCAGCCGCGGGAAUACGGAGGGUCCGAGCGUUAUCCGGAUUUAUUUGGUUUAAAGGGAGCGUAGGUGGGUUGUUAAGUCAGUUGUGAAAGUUUGCGGCUCAACCGUAAAAUUGCAGUAGAUACUGGCAGGCUUGAGUGCAGUAGAGGUGGGUGGAAUUCGUGGUGUAGCGGUGAAAUGCUUAGAUAUCACGAAGAACUCCGAUUGCGAAGGCAGCUCACUGGACUGCAACUGACACUGAGGCUCGAAAGUGUGGGUAUCAAACAGGAUUAGAUACCCCAGUAGUC
Molecule: ribosomal RNA, 460 nt
Filed under: uncultured bacterium
Lineage: Bacteria
Description: partial 16S ribosomal RNA
Rfam family: Bacterial small subunit ribosomal RNA
Source: RNAcentral